RNAcentral lists this transfer RNA (65 nucleotides) under Dipodomys ordii (Ord's kangaroo rat). It matches the Rfam family "tRNA". From Rfam's summary of the family: Transfer RNA (tRNA) molecules are approximately 80 nucleotides in length. The record is from Rfam by way of RNAcentral. Lineage: Eukaryota; Metazoa; Chordata; Mammalia; Rodentia; Heteromyidae.
GGUGGCUCAGUGGUAGAGUGCUUGUCUUGCAUGCAUGAGGACCUGGGUUCCAUUCCUCAGCACCA